This 253-nucleotide ribosomal RNA is filed under the name uncultured bacterium. RNAcentral's name for it is "partial 16S ribosomal RNA". It matches the Rfam family "Bacterial small subunit ribosomal RNA", at positions 524 to 776 of the family's 1533-position model. The record is from RNAcentral.
UACGGAGGGUGCAAGCGUUAUCCGGAUUCACUGGGUUUAAAGGGUGCGUAGGCGGACAGGUAAGUCAGUGGUGAAAUCUCUGGGCUUAACUCAGAAACUGCCGUUGAUACUAUUUGUCUUGAAUAUUCUGGAGGUAAGCGGAAUAUGUCAUGUAGCGGUGAAAUGCUUAGAUAUGACAUAGAACACCGAUAGCGAAGGCAGCUUACUACAGAAUGAUCGACGCUGAGGCACGAAAGCGUGGGGAGCAAACAGG